GGAUAACUACGUGAGCAGGUGUAUGUACCUGGUAGUAUGGUAUUGAACCUGACAAUCCGUAUAGGUUUUUUAGUAGUAACUGUAACCUGAAUGGAUAAAACCGUAUGGCAUAAGGAAAUAUGACAUAGACCAAGCUUAUCUUAAUACGUACAGUAUAUGUGAAAAGUAAAGUGCCAUGAUGUGUAAAUAUUAAACAUCGUAGCCAUACUGGUUAAAUAUGUAUAAAUCUUAACCCAUUAAGUGCCGUAUGUACAAGUGAAAAUGUGGUCUGUCCCCACCUUGUAUGUUGUAUGUCCCCUUGUUAGGGGAAGUCUGUUGCGGGAGCAGCGUGCUGUGAAAAAUGUAUGUGAACUAUAUUACCAGUUACAUAUAUACAGAUGCGUCUGCUACUGUGUAAUAAUAUAUGUAUUUAUUCAUACCAGAUGUUGAUAUAGUGCUUACUAUGUGAAUUGUUGUAUGUCUUAUUGAAUGGUAGGGGUCAGUGAACAUGGUGUUGCAAAAUGCAAGUGCACUGGAGAUCUGCCGAGUGCCCUAUAAGUGGCAGUGUAGUUGGAUACUGAUUGGUAUGUGAAAUGUUGUUUGUCUGUUGACCUAUAGGUGCCAGUGUUUUGGUGUUUGUAAAACCCCAUGAAAAUUGUCAAUGUACUUGACAGACCUGUAG
This is a non-coding RNA of Pelobates cultripes (western spadefoot toad), 661 nucleotides long. The record is from the annotation of a GenBank genome assembly. NCBI's taxonomy places the organism in Eukaryota, Metazoa, Chordata, Amphibia, Anura, Pelobatidae.